RNAcentral lists this ribosomal RNA (497 nucleotides) under uncultured bacterium. RNAcentral's name for it is "partial 16S ribosomal RNA". It matches the Rfam family "Bacterial small subunit ribosomal RNA", at positions 28 to 507 of the family's 1533-position model. The record is from RNAcentral.
GAUGAACGCUGGCGGCGUGCCUAAUACAUGCAAGUCGAGCGAACAGACGAGGAGCUUGCUCCUCUGACGUUAGCGGCGGAAGGGUGAGUAACACGUGGAUAACCUACCUAUAAGACUGGGAUAACUUCGGGAAACCGGAGCUAAUACCGGAUAAUAUAUUGAACCGCAUGGUUCAAUAGUGAAAGACGGUUUUGCUGUCACUUAUAGAUGGAUCCGCGCCGCAUUAGCUAGUUGGUAAGGUAACGGCUUACCAAGGCGACGAUGCGUAGCCGACCUGAGAGGGUGAUCGGCCACACUGGAACUGAGACACGGUCCAGACUCCUACGGGAGGCCGCAGUAGGGAAUCUUCCGCAAUGGGCGAAAGCCUGACGGAGCAACGCCGCGUGAGUGAUGAAGGUCUUCGGAUCGUAGAACUCUGUUAUUAGGGAAGAACAAAUGUGUAAGUAACUAUGCACGUCUUGACGGUACCUAAUCAGAAAGCCCCGGCUAACUACGUG